Molecule: ribosomal RNA, 406 nt
Filed under: uncultured bacterium
Lineage: Bacteria
Description: partial 16S ribosomal RNA
Rfam family: Bacterial small subunit ribosomal RNA
Source: RNAcentral
AUUGAACGCUGGCGGCAGGCCUAACACAUGCAAGUCGAGGGACCGGCGCACGGGUGAGUAACACGUAUCCCACCUGCCCUUUACUCGGGGAUAGCCUUUCGAAAGAAAGAUUAAUACCCGAUAUAAAGGAUGGGGGUGCGUUACAUUAGGUUGUUGGUGAGGUAACGGCCCACCAAGCCUUCGAUGGAUAGGCGUUCGGAGAGGAAGGUCCACUGCAAUGGAGCUGCGGCCCGGUCCACACUCGUACGGGAGGCAGCAGUGUGGAGUAUUGGUCAAUGGGCGUUAGCCUGAACCAGCCAAGUAGCGGGAAGAAUGAAGGCUUAUGGGUCGUAAACUUCUGUUAUAUAAGAAUAUGUAUUAAAUGAAUAAGGAUCGGCUAACUCCGUGCCAGCAGCCGCGGUAAUAC